AUUGAACGCUGGCGGCAGGCUUAACACAUGCAAGUUGAACGAUGAUUAUCUAGCUUGCUAGAUAUGAUUAGUGGCGGACGGGUGAGUAACAUUUAGGAAUCUGCCUAGUAGUGGGGGAUAGCUCGGGGAAACUCGAAUUAAUACCGCAUACGACCUACGGGUGAAAGGGGGCGCAAGCUCUUGCUAUUAGAUGAGCCUAAAUCAGAUUAGCUAGUUGGUGGGGUAAAGGCCCACCAAGGCGACGAUCUGUAACUGGUCUGAGAGGAUGAUCAGUCACACCGGAACUGAGACACGGUCCGGACUCCUACGGGAGGCAGCAGUGGGGAAUAUUGGACAAUGGGGGCAACCCUGAUCCAGCCAUGCCGCGUGUGUGAAGAAGGCCUUUUGGUUGUAAAGCACUUUAAGCAGGGAGGAGAGGCUAAUGGUUAAUACCCAUUAGAUUAGACGUUACCUGCAGAAUAAGCACCAGCUAACUCUGUGCCAGCAGCCGCGGUAAUACAGAGGGUGCGAGCGUUAAUCGGAAUUACUGGGCGUAAAGCGAGUGUAGGUGGCUCAUUAAGUCACAUGUGAAAUCCCCGGGCUUAACCUGGGAACUGCAUGUGAUACUGGUGGUGCUAGAAUAUGUGAGAGGGAAGUAGAAUUCCAGGUGUAGCGGUGAAAUGCGUAGAGAUCUGGAGGAAUACCGAUGGCGAAGGCAGCUUCCUGGCAUAAUAUUGACACUGAGAUUCGAAAGCGUGGGUAGCAAACAGGAUUAGAUAUCCUGGUAGUCCACGCCGUAAACGAUGUCUACUAGCCGUUGGGGUCCUUGAGACUUUAGUGGCGCAGUUAACGCGAUAAGUAGACCGCCUGGGGAGUACGGCCGCAAGGUUAAAACUCAAAUGAAUUGACGGGGGCCCGCACAAGCGGUGGAGCAUGUGGUUUAAUUCGAUGCAACGCGAAGAACCUUACCUGGUCUUGACAUAGUGGGAAUCCUGCAGAGAUGCGGGAGUGCCUUCGGGAAUUCACAUACAGGUGCUGCAUGGCUGUCGUCAGCUCGUGCCGUGAGAUGUUGGGUUAAGUCCCGCAACGAGCGCAACCCUUUUCCUUAUUUGCCAGCGGGUUAAGCCGGGAACUUUAAGGAUACUGCCAGUGACAAACUGGAGGAAGGCGGGGACGACGUCAAGUCAUCAUGGCCCUUACGACCAGGGCUACACACGUGCUACAAUGGUAGGUACAGAGGGUUGCUACACAGCGAUGUGAUGCUAAUCUCAAAAAGCCUAUCGUAGUCCGGAUUGGAGUCUGCAACUCGACUCCAUGAAGUCGGAAUCGCUAGUAAUCGCAGAUCAGAAUGCUGCGGUGAAUACGUUCCCGGGCCU
RNAcentral lists this ribosomal RNA (1355 nucleotides) under uncultured bacterium. RNAcentral's name for it is "bacterial SSU rRNA". It matches the Rfam family "Bacterial small subunit ribosomal RNA", at positions 28 to 1381 of the family's 1533-position model. The record is from RNAcentral.